GCCCGGAUGGUCUAGUGGUAUGAUUCCUGCUUCGGGUGCAGGAGGCCCCGCGUUCGAAUCGCGGUUCGGGCC
This is a non-coding RNA of Aspergillus tubingensis, 72 nucleotides long. The record is from the annotation of a RefSeq genome assembly. NCBI's taxonomy places the organism in Eukaryota, Fungi, Ascomycota, Eurotiomycetes, Eurotiales, Aspergillaceae.